GUGCUUGCCUUGACAGAACAUAUAGUAAAAUUGGAACAAUACUGAGAAGAUAAGCAUGGCGCCUGUGCAAGGUUGACACAUAAACUCAUGAAGCUUUCCAUAUAUUU
Molecule: small nuclear RNA, 107 nt
Organism: Suncus etruscus (white-toothed pygmy shrew)
Lineage: Eukaryota; Metazoa; Chordata; Mammalia; Eulipotyphla; Soricidae
Source: RefSeq, a predicted model, not a curated record